CUAGCGKCGGACGGGUGAGUAACGCGNGGSAACGUGCCCUUUGCUACGGAAUAGUCCCGGGAAACUGGGUUUAAUACCGUAUGUGCCCUUCGGGGGAAAGAUUUAUCGGCAAAGGAUCGGCCCGCGUUGGAUUAGGUAGUUGGUGGGGUAAUGGCCUACCAAGCCGACGAUCCAUAGYUGGUUUGAGAGGAUGAUCAGCCACACUGGGACUGAGACACGNHMMARACUCCUACGGGAGGCAGCAGUGGGGAAUCUUARAMAAUGGGGGCAACCCUGAUCUAGCCAUGCCGCGUGAGUGAUGAAGGCCUUAGGGUUGUAAAGCUCUUUCAGCUGGGAAGAUAAUGACGGUACCAGCAGAAGAAGCCCCGGCUAACUCCGUGCCAGCAGCCGCGGUAAUACGGAGGGGGCUAGCGUUGUUCGGAAUUACUGGGCGUAAAGCGCACGUAGGCGGACUGGAAAGUUGGGGGUGAAAUCCCGGGGCUCAACCUCGGAACUGCCUUCAAAACUAUCAGUCUGGAGUUCGAGAGAGGUGAGUGGAAUACCGAGUGUAGAGGUGAAAUUCGUAGAUAUUCGGUGGAACACCAGUGGCGAAGGCGGCUCACUGGCUCGAUACUGACGCUGAGGUGCGAAAGCGKGGGGAGCAAACAGGAUUAGAUACCCUGGUAGUCCACGCCGUAAACGAUGAAUGCCAGNCGUCGGGUUGCAUGCMANUUCGGUGACMCACCUAACGGAUUAAGCWUUCCGCCUGGGAGUACGGUCGCAARAUUAAAACUCAAAGGAAWUGACGGGGGCCCGC
This 796-nucleotide ribosomal RNA is filed under the name bacterium GD50LO75%. RNAcentral describes it as "partial 16S ribosomal RNA". It matches the Rfam family "Bacterial small subunit ribosomal RNA", at positions 92 to 924 of the family's 1533-position model. The record is from RNAcentral.